RNAcentral lists this ribosomal RNA (1440 nucleotides) under uncultured organism. Its description in RNAcentral is "SSU rRNA". It matches the Rfam family "Bacterial small subunit ribosomal RNA". The record is from RNAcentral.
GGGGCUUAACACAUGCAAGUCGAGGGGCAGCAUGGCCUUAGCUUGCUAAGGCCGAUGGCGACCGGCGCACGGGUGAGUAACGCGUAUCCAACCUGCCUUACACUCUUGGACAGCCUUCUGAAAGGGAGAUUAAUACAAGAUGUUAUCAUGAGUAAGCAUUUUCGCAUGAUUAAAGGUUUACCGGUGUAAGAUGGGGAUGCGUUCCAUUAGAUAGUAGGCGGGGUAACGGCCCACCUAGUCUUCGAUGGAUAGGGGUUCUGAGAGGAAGGUCCCCCACAUUGGAACUGAGACACGGUCCAAACUCCUACGGGAGGCAGCAGUGAGGAAUAUUGGUCAAUGGACGAGAGUCUGAACCAGCCAAGUAGCGUGAAGGAUGAAGGUUCUAUGGAUUGUAAACUUCUUUUAUACGGGAAUAAACGAAUCCACGCGUGGAUUUUUGCAUGUACCGUAUGAAUAAGGAUCGGCUAACUCCGUGCCAGCAGCCGCGGUAAUACGGAGGAUCCGAGCGUUAUCCGGAUUUAUUGGGUUUAAAGGGAGCGUAGAUGGGUUGUUAAGUCAGUUGUGAAAGUUUGCGGCUCAACCGUAAAAUUGCAAUUGAUACUGGCAGUCUUGAGUACAGUUGAGGUAGGCGGAAUUCGUGGUGUAGCGGUGAAAUGCUUAGAUAUCACGAAGAACUCCGAUUGCGAAGGCAGCUUACUAACCUGUAACUGACAUUGAUGCUCGAAAGUGUGGGUAUCAAACAGGAUUAGAUACCCUGGUAGUCCACACGGUAAACGAUGAAUACUCGCUGUAGGCGAUAUACAGUCUGCGGCCAAGCGAAAGCAUUAAGUAUUCCACCUGGGGAGUACGCCGGCAACGGUGAAACUCAAAGGAAUUGACGGGGGCCCGCACAAGCGGAGGAACAUGUGGUUUAAUUCGAUGAUACGCGAGGAACCUUACCCGGGCUUAAAUUGCAACCGAAUAUGGCGGAAACGCUAUAGCUAGCAAUAGCGGUUGUGAAGGUGCUGCAUGGUUGUCGUCAGCUCGUGCCGUGAGGUGUCGGCUUAAGUGCCAUAACGAGCGCAACCCUUGCCGAUAGUUACUAACAGGUCAUGCUGAGGACUCUGUCGGGACUGCCAUCGUAAGAUGUGAGGAAGGUGGGGAUGACGUCAAAUCAGCACGGCCCUUACGUCCGGGGCUACACACGUGUUACAAUGGGGGGUACAGAGGGCUGCUACCACGCAAGUGGAUGCCAAUCCCAAAAACCUCUCUCAGUUCGGAUUGAAGUCUGCAACCCGACUUCAUGAAGCUGGAUUCGCUAGUAAUCGCGCAUCAGCCACGGCGCGGUGAAUACGUUCCCGGGCCUUGUACACACCGCCCGUCAAGCCAUGGGAGCCGGGGGUACCUGAAGUGCGUAACCGCAAGGAGCGCCCUAGGGUAAAACUGGUGACUGGGGCUAAG